UACAGGGGGGGCAAGCGUUGUUCGGAAUUACUGGGCGUAAAGGGUCUGUAGGUGGCCAACUAAGUCAGACGUGAAAUCCCUCAGCUUAACUGGGGAACUGCGUCUGAUACUGGAUGGCUCGAGUGUGGGAGAGGGAUGCAGAAUUCCAGGUGUAGCGGUGAAAUGCGUAGAUAUCUGGAGGAAUACCGGUGGCGAAGGCGGCAUCCUGGACCGACAUUGACGCUGAGGAGCGAAAGCUAGGGGAGCAAACGGG
Molecule: ribosomal RNA, 253 nt
Filed under: uncultured bacterium
Lineage: Bacteria
Description: partial 16S ribosomal RNA
Rfam family: Bacterial small subunit ribosomal RNA
Source: RNAcentral